Molecule: non-coding RNA, 2078 nt
Organism: Schizosaccharomyces pombe (fission yeast)
Lineage: Eukaryota; Fungi; Ascomycota; Schizosaccharomycetes; Schizosaccharomycetales; Schizosaccharomycetaceae
Source: the annotation of a GenBank genome assembly
CAAUUUAAUUAGGAUCGAAGGAAAUUCCAUGUAGAUAAAGAUUCUGCUGAAGUGUUAAAAAAAAACAAGAAUAAAGCAGAAAUGAUUGAAAGCAUGUUUUUAAUCACUGUCAGAAUAUUCAUUUCCGCUUUCUGCGUAAUCCACUUUUCGCCUUUUACUUGUAUUAGUAGUGCUGCCAUAUAAUUUCACAUACCUUGCAGACCGCCUAGGUCGCUGGGAAGCAAUAGUGGAGACUCCUUCUGUUUCAUCUUCACUAUCCUUAACGACUAACUCAUCAUCGUCUUCUUCAUCGCCAGACCAUGGUUUUUCUUCCUCGUCUUUGUCAGAUGCAACAUCUUCUAUCUCCUCAUCAUCUUCAAGUAUUUCAAUUUUUGGAGAUGGAGAUCGCUUCCUUUCGGCUUUAUGUUUUUUGUUAGGGACCGAUGACUUUUCAACACUUUUUCUCUUAUGAGAUUUUCUCAAAUCUUGUAUGGGCUCUUUCUCCUCUUCAGAAGUAAGUUCUCCUUCUUCAAUCUUCCUGUCUUUUUCUUCAGAAGCGUCGGAAGCCAUUUUUCUGCAUCGUUCUUCAUCUUCUUCAUCAACAUGACCUUGCUCAAAAGCGCGAAGGAUUUUUUCUUGAACUAUAGGAUCGUUCAAUUCAUUAAAUCCAUCCAAACAAUUCUUAAUAUCUCCUUCAAAUUUUUUGUUUACAUUGCGAAGAACACGUUCCGUAACACAUCCCCAAUGCCUCCAUUUCCAGCUUUGGAAUUUACCAACAUCGACAAAUGUUCCAAACCUUAGAUCUCCUUUCCCUAUUUUCGAUCUAAAAAUGGUUAACUGAUGAUAGUUCCUUUUAUUUUUCGAAUGCUGUGCAUAAUGAUUUGGACAACUACAUAAAUUCUGGUAAAUAGCUAUAUAUACCUUCCGCAAACCGUUCCUUUGCAUUCUGCUCUGCCAGUUUUUGCAAGUUCUGCAAUCGUUAGAAAUUGGAUUUAAUGUAUAAAUUAUUAAAGCGAAUCCAUUGAAAUGCUCGUAAAUAUACGUGUCAUAUUAACACAUACCUACUCGAUAACCAGCGCCAGAUUCAGCCAUAAUUUGAAAAGCAGUAAAACACCAAAAAAACACUUAAAUCCAAAAAAAUAUAACGCUGGAUUAUUAAUUUAAGUAGGCAUAAAUCACUAAACACACAGCUUACAAAUUUUGAAAGAAAACAAAAGCUGUGACCAUGUGCUUUAGUAGUCUAUGAGCGUGACACUUAAAUCGGCAAUCUAAAUAACAAGAUAAAGCAACCCCCUUACAAUACCAGCCUCUUGUAUACUACUUUUCAGCAAGACGAAUAGGUAAUUGGCAAUUGUAUACAAGAUUCUGGUAUUUAAUAAAUACAUGUCAGCUACUCUUACAAUAAGCCGUAUUACGAACACAGGCAUUUCAUUUACCAAAGUAAUUUAUUGAAUCCCUAAAGUCGUUAAUGUGGAAUAUCGAGAAUCAUCCGGGUUUAAGCCAUUACCCUACCAAUCAGUAUUAAGGAAUUAUGCAAGUUGUUGUAAACAAUGCUGGUGAUUUACAAAGUAUGUUAGGAAUUUUCGUUAUUUAGGAAGAAUGAAAGUCUUUUACAUGUCGGGUCUUUCAGUUAAUGUAUGGCAUGCUAAACUUUGUAUACAGUUGUAUAUGAGAUGAAAUCGGCUGUAGUAAAGAGAGCAGAAUUCCUGGGUGUGGGCGGUUGUACACGAACGAUAGGUAUCGAUCUAAAGAAAGGAGUCAGCAACUUUUAAUGUCCAACAUACAUACUAAUAAGACAAAGGGAAUAAAGGAAGAAAAGAAAAAGUAAUAAAAUUUGAUUCUAAGUACUUACGAAGAGUGUUUUAUUUUGAAUAUUUUCUUAACCCGAUUUGGAAAGGUGGAUGUAAAAUGUCGUUUCCAUGAGGAUUUUUGAAGUGUUUCGUUUUCUGUCAUUAUAUUAUAGCACAAUUUUUUUCAUUAACAAUAAUUGUGCAAUUACAAAAAAAGGAGUUGCUCACGAAAAUCGUAAUUAACAAAUAGAAUAAUAAAUGUACACGAGGAUUCAAUGGGAAUUAAUUAGAAUACGACGUUAAAAGAGA